GUCCACACCGUAAACGCUGUCUACUAGCUGUGUGUGCCUUUAAGGCGUGCGUAGCGAAGCUAACGCGCUAAGUAGACCGCCUGGGGAGUACGGCCGCAAGGUUAAAACUCAAAUGAAUUGACGGGGGCCCGCACAAGCGGUGGAGCAUGUGGUUUAAUUCGAUGCAACGCGAAGAACCUUACCUACACUUGACAUGCUGAGAAGUUACUAGAGAUAGUUUCGUGCCUUCGGGAACUCAGACACAGGUGCUGCAUGGCG
RNAcentral lists this ribosomal RNA (258 nucleotides) under uncultured bacterium. Its description in RNAcentral is "partial 16S ribosomal RNA". It matches the Rfam family "Bacterial small subunit ribosomal RNA", at positions 793 to 1050 of the family's 1533-position model. The record is from RNAcentral.